AACGAACGCUGGCGGCAUGCCUAACACAUGCAAGUCGAACGAGACCUUCGGGUCUAGUGGCGCACGGGUGCGUAACGCGUGGUAACCUGCCCUUAGGUUCGGAAUAACUCCCCGAAAGGGGUGCUAAUACCGGAUAAUGUCUUCGGACCAAAGAUUUAUCGCCUUUGGAUGGGCCCGCGUUGGAUUAGCUAGUUGGUAGGGUAAAAGCCUACCAAGGCGACGAUCCAUAGCUGGUCUGAGAGGAUGAUCAGCCACGCUGGGACUGAGACACGGCCCAGACUCCUACGGGAGGCAGCAGUGGGGAAUAUUGGACAAUGGGCGAAAGCCUGAUCCAGCAAUGCCGCGUGAGUGAUGAAGGCCUUAGGGUUGUAAAGCUCUUUUACCCGGGAUGAGAAUGACAGUACCGGGAGAAUAAGCUCCGGCUAACUCCGUG
RNAcentral lists this ribosomal RNA (433 nucleotides) under uncultured bacterium. Its description in RNAcentral is "partial 16S ribosomal RNA". It matches the Rfam family "Bacterial small subunit ribosomal RNA", at positions 29 to 507 of the family's 1533-position model. The record is from RNAcentral.